Penaeus chinensis is the source of this 608-nucleotide long non-coding RNA. RefSeq lists it as uncharacterized. The record is from RefSeq and is a predicted model, not a curated record. The transcript is spliced from 2 exons. NCBI's taxonomy places the organism in Eukaryota, Metazoa, Arthropoda, Malacostraca, Decapoda, Penaeidae.
UAUAAUUCUUACAUCACACAUGAUUUGCUUAUUCUCAUUAAAAGAAUUAAUGAUUUGUGUGAUGAGGCUUGGCCAAAUUAAUUCUUCAAUCAGGAGGACAGUCAACCCAGAAGAUCUGAUUGUGGACUUGAAGCUUAGAGAAUUAUAGAGGCAACGAUGCUUCUAAUGAAGUGGCGAGGGACAGAGGAAACAGACUUAGUAGCAGCAAGGCAGACAAAUGUUCGUUGUCCACAAGUUGUCAUCACUCCUCAGCAAAUGGUUAGGAAGAAGGCAAUCAUGAGGCCAAUUUGAUUUUAUUUCUUUCUUCAGUUAGGCAGUUAUCUAAUGGAUCUUAAUGGUGUACUAUUUUGUAUUUAGUUAACUCAUCAACUGAGUUUAAAGUAUAGGAGUAGGAUCAUCUGAUAAUCAGUUCCAGGAGUCAUUUUUAUAUCAAGUCAUGAUGUUGCUUUUCCUUUGUUUUGCAAGUAGAGUAUUUGUAAUGGGCCUGAAAAUAUUUUUUUAUUUUUAAGUGUGGAAUAGAGAAUCUACAACCAUUUCCCUUAAGGGUCCAUGCCAUGUGUUAUUAUUUUUUUUUCUCUCUUUUUUUUAGUAAAUAAAGAGAAAUUGAC